GAGGGUAUAGCUCAGUGGUAGAGUGCAUGUUUAGCAUUCACAAGGUCCUGGGUUCAGUCCCCGGUACCUCCU
Molecule: transfer RNA, 72 nt
Organism: Camelus ferus (Wild Bactrian camel)
Lineage: Eukaryota; Metazoa; Chordata; Mammalia; Artiodactyla; Camelidae
Rfam family: tRNA
About the family: Transfer RNA (tRNA) molecules are approximately 80 nucleotides in length. Their secondary structure includes four short double-helical elements and three loops (D, anti-codon, and T loops).
Source: Rfam